This 122-nucleotide small RNA is filed under the name Streptococcus infantis SK1302. RNAcentral describes it as "Streptococcus sRNA SpR19". It matches the Rfam family "Streptococcus sRNA SpR19". The record is from Rfam by way of RNAcentral. Lineage: Bacteria; Bacillati; Bacillota; Bacilli; Lactobacillales; Streptococcaceae.
GUAAAUCCUAAGCGAGCCUGUGGUAGUGAGAGUCAGGUGAUUGAGAGAUGAGUGUGGCGCUUUUUGGUAUAUUUUUUAUAAAUAAUGAAGUAAUAAAUUAGGGUGGAACCGCGUUUCUGACG